This is a long non-coding RNA of Strigops habroptila (Kakapo), 3338 nucleotides long. RefSeq lists it as uncharacterized. The record is from RefSeq and is a predicted model, not a curated record. The transcript has 4 exons. Lineage: Eukaryota; Metazoa; Chordata; Aves; Psittaciformes; Psittacidae.
UAUAAAAUGUGUUGGAAAUAUCUCGUAGGUGAUAAAUAAUUAUAUUGUGUAUUUUGAUGGGUGUUAACCCUUAGAAAACUUACAUUGAGUCAGGGGGUUGCCUAAGAACAGAGAAAAUAUUGCAGAGGUGGAGAGAUGGGAUCCUCUGUGGCUGAUGUGAAUAUUUCAUGAAUGACUGGUAUUGACUAAGGCACUUUGUUAAAUUUGUGUUGCUGCAUUUAAAGUUGUUAGGCUUUGAUCUGUUUCAACAGUUUUGCUAACACUUUGCACUAAAUACUUUGCAAAUCAUAAGUUUUUAAGGGGACUAGAGAAUAAUUUGUACCUUUUUUAACUGUGUGGGAUUUUCUAAACUGUUACCCAUAUUACAGUAAUUAUUUUGAAAGCUCUCUGAUAUGACUGUUUCUCAUUAUAAUGGUUUGGUUAAUCAAUUGCAUAUAAAAAUAUCCCAACAAACAACUGUAACAAAUCAGAACCACUUUUCCAAGAUGUCUAUAUAACUUUGCAUUUUGGCUGCAUUUUGCACUGGUCAGAUUUCCAGUUGUGAUGCUGCUUUCCAGUUGUCAUUUUCCUAGGUAAGUCUCUUCAUGAGGGACAUUUUAAAGCCUGAGCACAAGGGAGUAGCCAAUUUUAUCAGGGAGGGUACAAGGGAAAAAUCAAGGUAAAACUGAAAUGAGCUAGAAAACCCCUACAAAUCUUACACUGUAUAUUUUAACAGUCAAAAAUGGCUUAUAUAAAAAGGAGAUUUGUAAUAGAGAUAGUUCCACUGCCCUCGAUGUUUUAAUAUGAAAAAAUACAACUCUAACGUCAUGUGCAGCCCCCAGUCAGUAGAUUUUGUGUUUCCCUCUGGGCUUUCGGUAGUCAUUGAAGAGAAGCAGUAGUUGGAGAGAAGGCAAUUGGAAGGAAGACGAGGGGAGGUAAACUGUGCCCACAGGCAUAUGAGUGAGGACAGAGCUCACAUGGAGACCUAGAUCUGAGAAUUACUCCCAUUUGGUCCUCUGUCUCUGAGCCUGUGACUCCUUCAGCUCCUGCUGGAUCUGGGUCUUAACCUGCAAUUUCUGAUUCCUGAAGUACUCUUUGUUUCUUUUCUAAGCAGUUCUGUGGCUUCCAUUGAAACCAGUGGGUAAACUGCCUCCCUCCUACUCAUUUCCUGUCUGCAGCAAUUUCCUCUGUCCUUCUGUUUGUUAGACUUUUAUGGUGACUGCAUUUUUUCCCCUUCAUGCUUACUUAAGUGGGAAAAAUCCCAAAUAAUCAUCUGUACUCAAUUUUCUUCAGCCGUUUAACUAUUUCUAUCCUUGAUGUUGCUUUGCACAUCUUUCUUGGCAGCUUUUCAGCCAAAUCCUUGUUCUAGCAGUGCCUGGGCUUAGGACAGCAUCCAAGUUUGUGAUGGGAUUUAAAAACCACAUGGAACAUCCUAUAGUUCACCUGGUCUGACACCAUAUCACGUCAAGACGCUCAAAGAAAUACACUUGACUAGCCAUUUGCCACAGGACAUUGAACCAAGUUCAGAGAUAUUUCCUCAUAUAAAUCUGGUGGCUUAGUUCAGCCCUUAAUGGGAAUCGAUGGACAUCUGCAGAGAACAUCUUUCUUCACUGAGGUGGAACCAGCCCAGAAGGAGUGAUAGCAUUUUGAUGGAAAGCUGAGAUGCUGUGAUGGAUGCAAUAGCUGCUGCAAAUUGCCAGGGUGCUGCUCCCUCCUCCUCAGCCCCUCACACACCUCUCAGUGAUCGCAGGAACAGAGUUCAGCUGCAGAAGUGUUACUGCCAGUGACACGGGCUUUCUCCACCUUCUUUGUACGUGGUGGUUUUGGCUUUGCCACUUACUGGAAACUGUGCACGGUAAUGAAACUGAAUAUACCCUAGAGAAGCCUUUGCCAAAUGAAGGUUUUCACCCAUAGGUUUGUUCUCAACAAAGGAGGGGCUGGCAUCACAGAGCCAGUCAGCCGGGAGGACAACGUCUGGCUAGCAUCUGCCUCAUGGCCACAGAAAACCUACAAGCGAUCCACAGAAUUGCCAGCACCUGCCUAGCAGCAUAAGGAGAGGUGUCAUACAGGAGUCACUCUCCUAGAAGAGGAGUGAAGGAAUGACUGUGGGUGGUAGCUUGCCACCAGCUAUGGAUCCUUUAGGAAGCUUUGGAUAAAGGGUGGUGAACCACAGCUGCUGUCCCUGGAUUGUACUGUGUUAUACUGCUGCCUCUCAUGAACGUCUAAUAGCAAGACAGAAAUGAAUAUGGCUGGGAUUUUCUCCCUGAAUCUAAAUGGCAUGUGCAUGGAAGCAUAAUUUUGCUCAAGCCGGUAUAGUUUUUAGCCCCAUUUGUGUGACUUUUACUUUAUCAGCUCACUGUAACAAAUUUCUUGUGCUGUAUUAAGAGCACAGAAUCUUGUUAAGAUAUGGUUCAUUUAUAUGAUAUUCACUUUGCCUUCUUACUUUGUAUUGCUGCCUCUGGGUAUCCUAGAGUUGAUUUCUUCUUGUAAUGAUGAAGAGAGACACUGCAUAGGGAAGUAAACACGUCUGAACUGGUGUGCAGACACAAUCCAGAACCGGCCAUGCCUGACAAGAGUGCCUGAGGAAAUGCCUGGGCACAGUGAGGUGGCCAAGGGUGGGAAGGGUCAUCUCAGCAGGCAGCACUGGGGUAAAUCCCAUGCACAGUGCAGUGAGGCUUUUAUACUAACCAGUAAAACACUGUGAUAAUACAGAGGGAAAUGAGUCCAAAAGAAGUGAGGCAUGAUAAUCCAAAUUUCCUGUCUGUGCUCAGUGGAGGACCUUUAACAUUGUGUUCCAGCUCACUAACAAAUGCUGUUUCUGCACUACUUAAAUGACGGGUGACAGCAGCGCUCCUUAAAGAGCUCACCUCUCCCUGGAGAUCUGUGGAACCAGAGCCAGGAGGCACCGUUUUGCAUGGGCAGGCUGUGCAAAAACUUCAUCUGGAGGCUUCCAGAUACAAUGGACACUUUCAGAGAGAAACAUAAUGUUUACAUCUCAUCUCAUAAUGCCCCCUGAUAAACCACCAUCCACCUCUUCCAGCUACAUGGUGGCACCAAGUUGGCUUGGGGCUGGAUUUUCCCGCUGGAUGUGUGGUGUGUUCCACUAGUCAGCAGCUCUCCCUGUACAAGUGAGCCGAGAGCAGAUGUCUCUCUGCUGCGUGUCACCACACACCCCGCAUCUGCAGCAAGAACCUAUCCCGUUACCUUGAUAACAUCUGCGAGCGGAUGCAUGACCUGGGAUGGACUUACCCCAAAUGCUGCUCCUGGGCAACAUUUCUCACUCAGUCUGUUCUCACCAAUGCAUUAUUUUAGACUGGAUAUUAGGAAAAAUUUCUUCACCAAAAGGGUGGUCAGUUAUU